Molecule: long non-coding RNA, 1356 nt
Organism: Neofelis nebulosa (Clouded leopard)
Lineage: Eukaryota; Metazoa; Chordata; Mammalia; Carnivora; Felidae
Exons: 2
Source: RefSeq, a predicted model, not a curated record
UAAAACUGCAAACUCCCUGUUAGGCAGCCCUCUGCUAUGGAUUUUGGAGGUGACCUCCUCACCUCAGGCUGAGACAUCUCAUCUCCCUGCUGUCUGGAUGCCCUUUCUUGUCUGUGCUUCACUCAGGUCUAAACGUGUGAAUCUUCUGGCUUCGUGCGGGGUUUUUGGCCCAACUCCCUUUAUCAUGAGACCCCGAGUCCUCACCUUCUGUGUCCAUGUGGUGAUUAAAGCCUGAGAUCCCCCUCCAGCACACACACACUUUGCUGUAACAGAGACCGAUUUCCUUGGGCGGAAAGUGAUGUCAUAAACUUGUCCCUCUGGCUAUCAUUUCCUUUUCCAGGCUUGUCGCUAUUUUCCUGCAGCUCAGCCACAUGCAUGAAUGACACCUGCCCAAGCCUCAGAGUGCUGGUCCCUUCAGUAGUCACCACCCUCGACCUUGCAAGAGCUAUGGUGAGACUUUCCACCCAUGUGGUUGUCACGGGAGCAGCAAAGACUCAACACCUGACCCUGCGUAGGCCACAUUUUGAAGCUGGAACUCAGAGAAAGCAGUGGCCGAAGCUGAAGGCCAGUAGCAUAAGUGAGAUAAGACUUCUGUUGCCAUCUGUCCACAGCUGUGGCUUUUCCUGACUCCAAAAUCCAUUUUUGUUGUUGAGCACCUUUAGGCAUUCCAAUAACCAUAUAAUAAAAUGCCUUUUCUACUCAACUCGUCCAAGCUGGCUUUCUGUCCCUCACCACCAAGAAAGUGAGUCACACGUCCGUCCAGGCAGAGCAGUGGGGAGAAUCUCCCUGUCCUUCUCGGUUCAGCGUGGCCACGUGGCUCCAGAGGGACUCGUCUCGCAUCCCGUGUGUUUAGACAAACCUCUCUCGCUCGCGUGCCAUCUUCCUGCCGUGGUGCUUCCCGUGCAGCCCCAGCCCCACAGGGCACCCAGACCGCAGGGACCCACUGAUGCAGACAGCCGGGGACACACUGCUUGUGUUCCGUUUACACGGAUGAAGGCCUGACCUUCAGAGGUGGAAUUCCUCGCCAAAUUCAAACGAAACUCACAGGACUCAGAGCUACUGUGUUUAUCCCCCGGACGCUGUUGCUUUUCCUAAUGGUUCAAAAGUUUGGAUAUAGAAGUGACUCAGCCAUCUGAAAGUUAUUUUUCUGUUGUUUGAAGAUCUGUUCUAAGAAAGGGUUAUUAAUGUUGUAAGAUGUCAUUAGUAUGAGAUUUGUAGCAGUGUUUUGCAGACUGAGGUAUUUAGAACAGAUAAACCUCAUUUUUUUUUGUUUUUGGUCCCAGAUGUGUGUGGUUCAUCAUCGUCUCUGAUACAGUUCAAGGAAAGAGAAAUUUUAAAAUGAAUUUAACACAUGUC